Molecule: long non-coding RNA, 591 nt
Filed under: Populus trichocarpa (black cottonwood)
Lineage: Eukaryota; Viridiplantae; Streptophyta; Magnoliopsida; Malpighiales; Salicaceae
Description: long non-coding RNA (PTRI_LNC002919)
Source: RNAcentral
UCGGAAACAUUAACUGAAAUUUUAGGGACCCAAAAGUUAAUGCCUUACAAACACACAGGCCAUAUAUCUUGAAGAGAGAUCAGAUCCUCUUCUCUCUAAUGGCUUACAAACAGACAGGCCAUUGAUCUUGACCUGAGCACCUGAACCAGUCAUUCCACAACACACACAAACCAACCUCCUUUGCAACUUCUCUUCCACAUCUCCUCGCUAUCAAAACCACCAAACUAGCCUCUACCCAAAGCCAUAGUAAAAACCCGAACCACCCACCAUCGCCAGCAGCAACCCACCAUCAGCCCCUGAUUUUACCGAGGUCACUCACCCACCUUCAUCACCGUCUCAGCGCGAGCCACCACUCUACAGUUCAAACCAAACCCACGCCAGCGCCACCAGUCUUCCAACCAGCCGAACCCACCACUAGAUCAGCCACUCGCCGCUUUGCUCAACACCAGUUUUCAAACCAAACCCAUGCCAAUUCAAUGAACUGAUGUGUUGGGUUUGACUAAAAUUUAAUUUCAAAAUUUCCUUUUGGCUCUGGUUUCAAGAAUCUCUAUAGUCUAUGCCUAUAAUUUUAUAGUCUAUUUUACUUCUCAC